CGAACACAAAAAAUGAUACCUACUUGAGUGUCAAGUUUAGUAUUAAUGGCAAAUUUACAGAUGCCCAACAUGAAAUAUAUAAUAAAGGGCUAAAGGCCUUAUUUAAACUUAAAAAAUAUUCUCAGGUCAUAAACCAAAAAUAAAAACUCUACUUCAUGUUUUUGACCAUACAGUUAAAUCAGUCUUAAUGUAUGGUAGUGGAAUAUGGGGUGACAUUAACUUUCACAAAUUAAACACUCAAGGGGAUAAAUAUUUCAAAAAACUAUGUGGAGACCUGGCAGUAGAGAAG
Molecule: long non-coding RNA, 289 nt
Filed under: Mytilus galloprovincialis (Mediterranean mussel)
Lineage: Eukaryota; Metazoa; Mollusca; Bivalvia; Mytilida; Mytilidae
Source: RNAcentral